UCCAAGUUACUUCUCUUGUCAGAAAACAGACGGGAUCAUUGCUUUGUUCUGCAGCCCUGUUAUCUUUGGCUGUGUGAUAAGGAACUCCACAGAGUUUCCCUAUCUGGAGGAAGAAGAAAGACAACCCCAAGUAAAUAGCUCUCAACCCAGCGUCGAUCCCACUGUCAUCAUCGUCACACUAAAUAAAGGAGUAUCUGUUAGAGGGAAAAGGAAAAGGAGAGAAUGGGUCGCCAACCGUCACACCAGAGGAACACGAACCAAAAGGCAGACGAGUCCUGACGGUUGAUUACACUAGGCUGAAGCCGCAGGAUUCAGCCUGCGGCUGUGGUAACGAGAAUCAGAGGCAUAAUAAAUCCUCUCACCUGUGCAACGGGCCGAUCAGUAGUCCACCUGAAAGGCCGAAGAAAGAAGAACAACCGAGAAGGAGAUCGCCACGUCAACACAAAGGAGUGGUAACAAAUUAAGGAGAAAAAGAAAGGAGAAAAUUUAUGUAAAAGAGCAAAAGUUUAUGCUAAAAAUAUAAAUCUCACACAACACAAUGCACUCACACGAAUCAGAUACACGUCAUGGGACACGUGAAGAGAAGAAAUUGGUAAAAAUGCUCCUCACAACCACAUGCUUGCUAUAUCAGAUAGUAUUACUUAUGGCCGUGUGUUUUCUUGUGUAUUUCUUGCAGACCGCCCCACGUGACCUGUCUGAACACGGAGGCCAGUCCAGCCCACCACCAACUGAGAAACUGAAUACUGGGAUGUGGCCAUGGAAAAGACCAAAACGUGAGGUGUCAGGUAAAAGGGAUGAUUGUCUCAAGUUGUUACUGCGAUAGUAAUGUUUAACGCUCAUAAGAAGGCUCAUAGGAUCGAUAAACCAGAUGAAUUAGACUUCGUGCAAUAUCCAUGACAUCAAUCAAAAAAUCAGCCAGCUGUUCUUCUGCUAUUACCAUAGUUGUGCGAUAUUCAUAGGGAACAUCCACUGUUUCACAGGAAAUAAAAACCUCUAUUGCAAUACCUUCAGGUACUGGUCUUAAACUAACUGCCACAAAUACUUCGGCUAAAUUACCCUCCAAUUCGGACCAAGGGAUGUCAGGACCAUCCAUUGGUUAUAUAUAUUUAAAAGGGGACCCUGCUCAAAUCUUCCUCUCUAUUUUCUCAAUAUUUUAACUUAACAUUACCUCCUAUCUCAUUCACUCUUCGAGUUCUGGAUCAGUGCACACGAGUGUCCCAGUUUAAAUUUAAAAGAGGAAGUCACACUCAAUA
Oreochromis niloticus (Nile tilapia) is the source of this 1253-nucleotide long non-coding RNA. RefSeq lists it as uncharacterized. The transcript is spliced from 3 exons. Lineage: Eukaryota; Metazoa; Chordata; Actinopteri; Cichliformes; Cichlidae. The record is from RefSeq and is a predicted model, not a curated record.